CCUACGGGCGGCAGCAGUGAGGAAUAUUGGUCAAUGGACGAGAGUCUGAACCAGCCAAGUAGCGUGAAGGAUGACUGUCCUAUGGGUUGUAAACUUCUUUUAUAUGGGAAUAAAAUGUUCCACGUGUGGGAUUUUGUAUGUACCAUAUGAAUAAGGAUCGGCUAACUCCGUGCCAGCAGCCGCGGUAAUACGGAGGAGCCGAGCGUUAUCCGGAUUUAUUUGGGUUAAAGGGAGCGUAGGUGGAUUGUUAAGUCAGUUGUGAAAUUUUGCGGCUCAACCGUAAAAUUGCAGUUGAAACUGGCAGUCUUGAGUACAGUAGAGGUGGGCGGAAUUCGUGGUGUAGCGGUGAAAUGCUUAGAUAUCACGAAGAACUCCGAUGGCGAAGGCAGCUUACUAAAC
This 399-nucleotide ribosomal RNA is filed under the name uncultured bacterium. Its description in RNAcentral is "partial 16S ribosomal RNA". It matches the Rfam family "Bacterial small subunit ribosomal RNA", at positions 338 to 734 of the family's 1533-position model. The record is from RNAcentral.